Molecule: unclassified non-coding RNA, 1904 nt
Filed under: uncultured fungus
Lineage: Eukaryota; Fungi
Description: sequence contains 18S rRNA gene, ITS1, 5.8S rRNA gene, ITS2, 28S rRNA gene
Rfam family: Eukaryotic large subunit ribosomal RNA (bases 799-1904)
Source: RNAcentral
GGAAGGAUCAUUAACACGUAUCCACGUAUCCACCCUUCGUGCACUCGUUUUCCCUCCCUGUCUGUCCACAUGCAUUGGAACUCUGUCGCGCUUUGAUUGGGACCCGUUACACGGUCGGCGCGGCGAGUAUACUGAAGGAAGCCUCGGCUCCUUUCGACAAUGGUAGUGGAACGGCAGGCAACCAUUUCUGCUAGGAGCGUCUCCUUUCAAGACGUAACUGGUGGAUGCACAUUCACACCUUUCACCCCCUUUUUGCUAGUUGACUUUUUUAAUGUUGAGUUGUCUGUAUUCAUUUACAUAUUGCUCACACGUUUAAUUACUUGAACGUUAAAAUACAACUCUUAGCGAUGGAUAUCUAGGUUCUCGCAACGAUGAAGAACGCAGCGAAAUGCGAUACGUAAUGCGAAUUGCAGAAUUCAGUGAAUCAUCAAAUCUUUGAACGCAAAUUGCGCUCUUGGGUAGCCCUAGGAGCACGCCUCUCUCAGUAUCGGUUCAACCUCCUCUCAGCAGCGUGCAGCAAUGCGCGUGUAGCUGGACAAUGAGAGUCGGAAUGUACUAUUUCGUCUCUUGAAAUCUAUGGAGUGCGCUCUACAACCCCCUCUCAGAUCCGCCAUUGGCGGAUAGGCAGUCUCGGACUGUCGCUGAUGAGUGACGUGAAUACUGACCCUCGGGUCUUUUCUACGUGAACUCGGCUAGCGAUUAUACAAAGUCUAGGAUACCGAACGAAGAAGGAGGAGCUCGCGGAACGUGGCCUCACAGCUACAAUCGGCUUUGACUUAACACUCGAAGUCUGAAUUUUGAUCUGAGAUGAAGCGAGACAACCCCUGAAUUUAAGCAUAUUAAUAAGGGGAGGAAAAGAAACUAACAAGGAUUCCUCUAGUAACGGCGAGUGAAGCAGGAAGAGCUCAAUUUGAAAAUCGAUAUCCUAAGCGGGACAUCGAAUUGUAGCCUAGAGACGUACUAUCAGCUGAAACCUGGGUAUAAGUUCUUUGGAAUGAGACGUCAUAGAGGGUGAGAAUCCCGUAUAUGACCCAAAGCUUUCAGCGUACGAUGUAUGUUCAUCGAGUCGAGUUGUUUGGGAUUGCAGCUCUAAAUGGGUGGUAAGUUUCAUCUAAAGCUAAAUAAUGGCGAGAGACCGAUAGCGAACAAGUACCGUGAGGGAAAGAUGAAAAGAACUUUGAAAAGAGAGUUAAAAGUACUUGAAAUCGCUAAGAGGGAAGCGCUGGCAACCAGUGUCAUGCGUCGUUCAUCGGCUUCAGCCCCUGUAGCUGUCGUGUGCAGUUGGAAACUCUGCUUACGGCCGUGAGAGGGUGGUUGGAGUUUUGGGACGGCGUGUUAGUCAAGAUCCAUGCGGUGAGGGGGAGAAGGUGGGGGGGAAGGUAGGAGCUUUGCUCUGUUAUAGACCCCUUACUCUACCUCGCGCUGCAUGGAGGAAGGAAUAGUGCGCUGCUUGCGGCUUAGUCCCGUGUUCCUAUGCUUUUAGCUGUUCUGAUAGCAAUGCUAUCCUUGUGGCGAAGAGGUAUACUGGGCGCGAGGAUUCUAUGUGCUAUCACGAUCUUGUACGAAAUGGUUGUCAUCGACCCGUCUUGAAACACGGACCAAGGAGUCUAACAUCUAUGCGAGUAUUUGGGUGCAAAACCCUGAUGCGCAAUGAAAGUAAAGGCAGUUUCGGCUGCUGAGGUAGGAAUCCGGCAACGGAGGCACUAUCGACCGAUCCUCACUUGUGAAAGAUUUGAGUAAGAGCAUAUCUGUUGGGACCCGAAAGAUGGUGAUCUAUGCCUGAACAGGGUGAAGCCAGGGGAAACUCUGGUGGAGGCUCGUAGCGAUACUGACGUGCAAAUCGUUCGUCUGAUUUGGGUAUAGGGGCGAAAGACUAAUCGAACCAUCUAGUAGCUGGUUCCCUC